AUCCCCUCCAGCCCACCCGCACGCACGUGUGACGAUCCCCUCACCGUCGCCCCUCUCCGGAACGCCGCCGUCUGGAUCGCCGCCGCCGUCGCCGCCGCCGUCUCUCCGGAUGGCCGCCGCCGCCGCCAUCUCUCCGGAUCGCUGCCCCCGCCGCCUUCGUCACCGCCGUCUCUCCGGAUCGCCGCCGCCGUCUCUCUGGAUCGCUGCUGCCGUAUCUCCGGAUCGCAGCCACCGCCGCCGUCUGGAUCGUCGCCGCCGUCACACAGAAGACAGUGCAGGAGCUGCCGCCGCCGCCCGCCCCCAUCUCCUCCCCUGAUCCAACUAAACAUCCCGUAAACUGAAAAAGAGGGUGAUUGGUUAGGAUGCUGGAGCAGCUAACAAGGAGGGGCGGACACGUGAACGAGAUGGGAAGACAACUCACUUUGCCCCUCCUCCAAGCACAUCAGCGACUCUUCGAUCUGCUUCUCUCCCUCGCAAGAUAUGAGAUUCUUAUAUACCAUUGCUGCAACCUGUUGCACACAUGCAAUUCUAUUGUUUUGUGUAAGAGUCAUUGACUUUUGUGGAGAAGUUCGCGUCACGAUGGAAUUCUGCUGUCAAGGUCGCCAUGUCGGCGAGCUCGUUGGCGUCAUACUGCCCCAACAGGAGCGCCAUCGGGUCGGCCGCGCUGCUGGCGGCUGCAACCAUGGAUGAUGGAAAUUGUGAGUCCUGCAAAAUCUGUACGUGGGUUAGGAUAACAGGUUGAGCCAUCUGUUCCUCUACAGUCAAACGCUUGAUUGGGAUGUUCUAUCCAUGAUGGGAUCAGAUUCAUGAAACUCGAUCUGUUGAAGAAGUUUCAGUCCAGCUUCACUCACCGCCUUUCAUUGUCAUCGAGACAACCGACAUUGCUCAGAACGCCGCAUCCCCGGCCUACUCUCUCUUCACCCGUCAAUGCUCAUGUGCUCCGACCCUCCCCGACCCCUCCCAGCAAGCAGCAGAGUCUCUCUUGUUCGAGCUCCACCGGGCCGGCGGCGGCGACGUCCAUGGGCGGAGCACAACGCUGGGGUUGAAAUCCACCAUGCUGCUACUGAUGAGGCUCUCCUCCUUUGUCCACCGGUUAUCAGACAACUGCGUAUGAGACUUCCACCGUCGUACACUCAUUUGAUCGUGCUGAUGCGCCUGGCUGUGGGAUGGCUUCUGCUGGGAUGCUCCAAGAUUUCACGAAUCCAUUAUGACGAAAUAGGGUGGCCGCCCGCUUUAUUUCAUGAAUCCAUUAUCGCCUACAGAAUAACGUCCUGGCCCUCCAAGUUUGAGUGAUUCUCUUUAUUUUGCUAUAUCUCAACUGUACAUGCAUCGUUUAUGUUCGCCGGCCCGCGCCCCCGUGUCUCCUCACGUUAAUGUGGCUGCUGGCCGCGGGACUGACGAGGAGGUCAUGGUGGAGCGGUGGUGCUGGCUGUGGCCUAGCAGGAUAUCAUAAGUUCUCCCUUGUUCUUUUGUGUUUGAAUCAGAUUUAGUGGUUCUUGAUUUUACAGGCAUGCAUCGAUCUUGCUCAUGUUCUGUAUGUAGGAUACACUUAAUGUUUUAUGGGAUGUUCUGCAGAUUUUUAGAACACUAAGGGCAUAUCUUGGCUUGAAUGCUGCUGGGUCGAUGAAGGUCAUGCAACAUGGCAGGUGAGUGCUCCUCUCCCCUUUCCCUCUAUGCUAAAAAUUAGUUCCAAUUUCCAUGCAAGUUCGCCAAUUUAGAUCUAGAGGUAAAGGUUCUGUACGAGGUUAGGUAGCAUGGUCUUGCUGGUGACUACUUGAACUCAAGUUGGACAACAUAUGCAAUAUCCAAUUCAGCGAGAUAUCAUGACUCGAUUUCACUUUCAUUCCACAGUUGAGAUCAUAAUUUGAUUGAUAUUUUGCAUCUUUUAUAGAUAUAGAUUGAUAACAUUUAAUGAUGUUAUAGGAUAUAUAUAAUGAUUAGAAAA
Triticum aestivum (bread wheat) is the source of this 1945-nucleotide long non-coding RNA. RefSeq lists it as uncharacterized. NCBI's taxonomy places the organism in Eukaryota, Viridiplantae, Streptophyta, Magnoliopsida, Poales, Poaceae. The transcript has 4 exons. The record is from RefSeq and is a predicted model, not a curated record.